CUAGAUUCUUUAGUUUCAUAGGAAAGGUUGUGGUUUCAUUGAUCUAAACAGAAAAACAGUAGACUUCCUGCAAUGUUCCAUUGUUACUAUUUACUCCAUAGUCAACUCAACACCAUCUAAGUGGAAAGAAAAUAUUGAGGUUGUUCUGCCCGAUGAAUUACUAAUGGUGCUCCCAACAGUAGAAGACUGGAACCAAGUUGAAUUACUUCAGAGACAAAGAAAUGAAGCCAUAUGUUCAAGUGAUCAGGAAAAAGAAAAAGAACCUAUAUGCCCCAGCUGACAGUAGAAGCUGAAGAUGAAGUUGAAGGUGUGGAAGCUGAAGGGAGCUGUGCUUCCCACCCUGUUAUCAAGGAUGACUGUAACACUGGAGGACACAGAAUUUUGGAAAUGACAGAAUCCCACUUGGAAACUAACUUCCCCUUAACAGUUGGAAAGAUGGAACUGCACUCAAUCAGGUUCUUCACUGCAUAUGUGUAGGUGGACUUGAUUCUUGAUUUGGCUGAAGGAAUGCUACUUGAAUGGAGAAAAACAUUAGAUGAAUACUUUGAAAGAGACCAGUCAAGAAAAAGGCAAGAUCAGUCCAUCAAACUGUGAAUACCCUUUGACCAAGCAAAAUCACUACUAGCACUACUACAUCUGUAUCCCAAAGAGAUUAAAGGUAGAGGAAAAGAAAAAUGCCUGUAAAUAUAUACAUACAUACAUAUAUAUACACACACACAAUUUAUAUGUGUGU
This 733-nucleotide long non-coding RNA is filed under the name Monodelphis domestica (gray short-tailed opossum). RNAcentral describes it as "lncRNA (ENSMODG00000038681.1)". Lineage: Eukaryota; Metazoa; Chordata; Mammalia; Didelphimorphia; Didelphidae. The record is from RNAcentral.